UGUGAUUCAAUUUCAUUUUUUUCAUCUUUAUCAUUUAUGAAUUCAAUGAACACACAUUAUUUAAACGUUCUAUGUGCAACUAUUUGUCGGGGCGCCCCUGUAUGCAUGGUAUGUAACCCCCGCGCGCGCGCCGAAUGUAAACAGUAACGAACGGCAUUGUAGAAAAGAGAGAGCCGUAAUGCAGAAGAGAAGUUGUGUAUUCUUUCGGUGUAUACAUGCAUUUUCAAUUUACUGUGAAACAUAUGAACAUGCACAGGGAACAAUACUACAUAUUUGUUUAAGGAGGAUAUUUUUCUCGUGUGAAUCGUUUACGAGGAAAUUCUGACAGCCACACUUCUGUCGACGAUCAGCCGUUGAUAAGCUACGAGUAAUAAAGGAGAAAAGAUGGACAUUAAAGUGUGUGAUUUAUGUGGAUGUUACUGAAGAAGCUCAAAACAGACUCUUGUUACCACAUGGCUUUUACUGGUACCUGUUGAUUCUUGUGGGUCAGCUCCUGAGAUUAACCUGUCACCUCUAUCCACAUGCAUAUUCCUUGUGUUCUACAGACUAUUUACCGGUAAUUCAAAUUAAAUCCAAUAAUGCAUGAACAAUAAUGGAACUUGAAGAAAGCAUCAUGCCAUGUUGUGGUUUGUGUUUGAUAAGAAAUUAUGAAAACAAAAUUAAGGCUGUUUAAAGAAAUUCAUAAUUGCUGUGAAAAUUUGUUUUUCAAUAAAAGUAUGCAAUUA
This is a long non-coding RNA of Magallana angulata, 725 nucleotides long. RefSeq lists it as uncharacterized. Lineage: Eukaryota; Metazoa; Mollusca; Bivalvia; Ostreida; Ostreidae. The transcript is spliced from 2 exons. The record is from RefSeq and is a predicted model, not a curated record.